This 618-nucleotide ribosomal RNA is filed under the name uncultured Actinomycetes bacterium. RNAcentral describes it as "bacterial SSU rRNA". It matches the Rfam family "Bacterial small subunit ribosomal RNA", at positions 107 to 737 of the family's 1533-position model. Lineage: Bacteria; Bacillati; Actinomycetota; Actinomycetes. The record is from RNAcentral.
UGCGUAACACGUGGGCAACCUGCCCCUGACACUGGGAUAACCCCGGGAAACCGGAGCUAAUACCGGAUACUCUCGGCCGAUCACAUGGCUGGCCGAGGAAAGGUCCGCCGGUCGGGGAUGGGCCCGCGGCCUAUCAGCUUGUUGGUGAGGUAACGGCCCACCAAGGCGACGACGGGUAGCUGGUCUGAGAGGACGACCAGCCACACUGGAACUGAGAUACGGUCCAGACUCCUACGGGAGGCAGCAGUGGGGAAUAUUGCACAAUGGGCGAAAGCCUGAUGCAGCGACGCCGCGUGAGGGAUGAAGGCCUUCGGGUUGUAAACCUCUUUCGGCAGGGACGAAGCGAUCAGUGACGGUACCUGCAGAAGAAGCCCCGGCUAACUACGUGCCAGCAGCCGCGGUAAGACGUAGGGGGCGAGCGUUGUCCGGAUUCAUUGGGCGUAAAGCGCGCGUAGGCGGCUGCGCAAGUCGGGUGUGAAACCCCGGGGCUCAACCCCGGAACUGCAUCCGAUACUGCGUGGCUAGAGGUAGGUAGGGGAGAUCGGAAUUCCUGGUGUAGCGGUGAAAUGCGCAGAUAUCAGGAGGAACACCGGUGGCGAAGGCGGAUCUCUGGGCCUU